GAUGAACGCUGGCGGCGUGCCUAAUACAUGCAAGUCGAACGCACAGCGAAAGGUGCUUGCACCUUUCAAGUGAGUGGCGAACGGGUGAGUAACACGUGGACAACCUGCCUCAAGGCUGGGGAUAACAUUUGGAAACAGAUGCUAAUACCGAAUGAAACUUAGUGUCGCAUGAUACGAAGUUAAAAGGCGCUUUGGCGUCACCUAGAGAUGGAUCCGCGGUGCAUUAGUUAGUUGGUGGGGUAAAGGCCUACCAAGACAAUGAUGCAUAGCCGAGUUGAGAAACUGAUCGGCCACAUUGGGACUGAGACACGGGCCAAACUCCUACGGGAGGCUGCAGCAGGGAAUCUUCCACAAUGGGCGAAAGCCUGAUGGAGCAACGCCGCGUGUGUGAUGAAGGCUUUCGGGUCGUAAAGCACUGUUGUAUGGGAAGAACAGCUAGAAUAGGGAAUGAUUUUAGUUUGACGGUACCAUACCAGAAAGGGACGGCUAAAUACGUGCCAGCCGCCGCCGUAA
Molecule: ribosomal RNA, 513 nt
Filed under: uncultured bacterium
Lineage: Bacteria
Description: partial 16S ribosomal RNA
Rfam family: Bacterial small subunit ribosomal RNA
Source: RNAcentral